RNAcentral lists this ribosomal RNA (181 nucleotides) under uncultured Anoxybacillus sp. Its description in RNAcentral is "partial 16S ribosomal RNA". It matches the Rfam family "Bacterial small subunit ribosomal RNA", at positions 1202 to 1382 of the family's 1533-position model. The record is from RNAcentral. Lineage: Bacteria; Bacillati; Bacillota; Bacilli; Caryophanales; Anoxybacillaceae.
UUAUGACCUGGGCUACACACGUGCUACAAUGGGCGGUACAAAGGGUCGCGAACCCGCGAGGGGGAGCCAAUCCCAAAAAGCCGCUCUCAGUUCGGAUUGCAGGCUGCAACUCGCCUGCAUGAAGCCGGAAUCGCUAGUAAUCGCGGAUCAGCAUGCCGCGGUGAAUACGUUCCCGGGCCUU